CCUACGGGUGGCAGCAGUGAGGAAUAUUGGUCAAUGGGCGAGAGCCUGAACCAGCCAAGUCGCGUGAAGGAUGACGGCCCUACGGGUUGUAAACUUCUUUUGUCAGGGAGCAAUUGAGUCCACGUGUGGGCUUAGCGAGAGUACCUGAAGAAAAAGCAUCGGCUAACUCCGUGCCAGCAGCCGCGGUAAUACGGAGGAUGCGAGCGUUAUCCGGAUUUAUUGGGUUUAAAGGGUGCGUAGGCGGAAUAUCAAGUCAGCGGUAAAAAUUCGGGGCUCAACCCCGUCGUGCCGUUGAAACUGAUGUUCUUGAGUGGGCGAGAAGUAUGCGGAAUGCGUGGUGUAGCGGUGAGAGGCAUAGGUGUCGCGCAGAAGUCCGAUUGCGAAGGCAGCAUACCGGCGCCCAACGGAGGCUGAAGCACGAAAGCGUGGGUAGCGAACAGGAGUAGAUACCCUGGUAGUC
This 460-nucleotide ribosomal RNA is filed under the name uncultured bacterium. RNAcentral's name for it is "partial 16S ribosomal RNA". It matches the Rfam family "Bacterial small subunit ribosomal RNA", at positions 338 to 795 of the family's 1533-position model. The record is from RNAcentral.